GGCAAGCACGAGGAGCGGCAGGACGAGCAUGGCUACAUCUCCCGGUGCUUCACGCGGAAAUACACGCUGCCCCCCGGUGUGGACCCCACCCAAGUUUCCUCCUCCCUGUCCCCUGAGGGCACACUGACCGUGGAGGCCCCCAUGCCCAAGCUAGCCACGCAGUCCAACGAGAUCACCAUCCCAGUCACCUUCGAGUCGCGGGCCCAGCUUGGGGGCCCAGAAGCUGCAAAAUCCGAUGAGACUGCCGCCAAGUAAAGCCUUAGCCCGGAUGCCCACCCCUGCUGCCGCCACUGGCUGUGCCUCCCCCGCCACCUGUGUGUUCUUUUGAUACAUUUAUCUUCUGUUUUUCUCAAAUAAAGUUCGAAGCAAC
This 370-nucleotide long non-coding RNA is filed under the name Pan troglodytes (chimpanzee). RNAcentral describes it as "long non-coding RNA NONPTRT015707". The record is from RNAcentral. Lineage: Eukaryota; Metazoa; Chordata; Mammalia; Primates; Hominidae.